Long non-coding RNA from Seriola aureovittata, 426 nucleotides. RefSeq lists it as uncharacterized. NCBI's taxonomy places the organism in Eukaryota, Metazoa, Chordata, Actinopteri, Carangiformes, Carangidae. The record is from RefSeq and is a predicted model, not a curated record. The transcript has 3 exons.
CAGUGGCGCGUCACGUCUGCCCUCAGUCCCACGAAGAAGAAUAACUUCCGGCAGAGCUCGAAGUUAGCAUCACAGAAACACAGUAAUGGCUGAACCUCCUAAAAGGCGAUAUUCAUCUGCAUCCUGAAGGACCGCUCCCGACAAGAAACCACGUUCAGCGGCGAAGAAAAGAAGCAACACGAGUAAAUCUGGAUGUGACUUUUCCGCCGCUGGAGAAGCUCCUGAGAGGAAAGAGAUGCGGUUUGAUGCCGAGCUCGCAACUUUCCUGUUAGCCUGGACCUGAGCCAGUACAGGUGUAAUACCGCCUCCACCUGUCUCACCAACGGCAGAGAGUCCAGACACAGUGAGGAGGGUCCAGGGACGGCAGAAUCCACCUCGGGCCAGAACUGCACCUUGUGGAACCCAGAAAGAAACGGUAAGUCAUGC